CAAAACAGUUUAUAGCCUCAUCACGCCUGAUCCCGUCUGAGCUCAGAAGCUAAGCAUUGUUGGGCCUGGAAAGCACUGGAUGGGAGACCAGCGGGCGAUAACAGGUGCUGUUUCAC
RNAcentral lists this ribosomal RNA (116 nucleotides) under Amphilophus citrinellus (Midas cichlid). The record is from RNAcentral. Lineage: Eukaryota; Metazoa; Chordata; Actinopteri; Cichliformes; Cichlidae.